This 407-nucleotide long non-coding RNA is filed under the name Bos taurus (domestic cattle). Its description in RNAcentral is "long non-coding RNA NONBTAT019347". Lineage: Eukaryota; Metazoa; Chordata; Mammalia; Artiodactyla; Bovidae. The record is from RNAcentral.
AUUUUGAUUAUAUAUGUUAAAAAUGAUUAAAGUAGAUACUAUAGAUGAUAUGAACAAACUUCAGCACUUCGUGGAAAGUCUCCUUUUGGAGAACUGCAGAAUAAGGCAGAAGGCAAGGAGCUUUUAUAGGAUAAGGAAUAAGGAAGAGAUUAAUAAAAAAGGUCUGGUUAGCUGGGGUCACAGAGUCAGUCUUGUUUGGGAGGAGAAGGUCUAGAGCUCACUUGGCCUUUGGGGACUGGCUGGCCGAAUAUACUGCACUUCUGGUGAAGCGGAGCAUUUACAGGGACACAGAAGUUCCCCAAGUACUUUCACUCGCUGAUGUGGCACCCUGGAUAAUAUUAUAGCAGCUUCAUCUUGGGCCUAGAAGUUUAUUUCUCUCUGUACAACUAAAUAUAAAAAUACAUAUA